CGCCUCUUGCAUUCUAUGUAUAAGAGGUCCCGCCUGCCCUGUGACUAUAUGUUUAACGGCCGCGGUAUUUUGACCGUGCAAAGGUAGCGCAAUCACUUGUCUUUUAAAUAAAGACCUGUAUGAAUGGCAUGACGAGGGCUUAACUGUCUCCUUCUCCCGGUCAAUGAAAUUGAUCUCCCCGUGCAGAAGCGGGGGUAUUAUUAUAAGACGAGAAGACCCUGUGGAGCUUUAAAUGAUGAGAGAUUUUAUGCAACAAACCUAAAAAGGUAUAAGCGAAUUUAUACUCCCUCUAAUAUUUUUGGUUGGGGCGACCGCGGAGUAAAAAGAAACCUCCGUGAGGAAUGAGGUAAUUAACCUUAAAUCCCAGAACGACAAUUCAAAGAAACAAAAUUUUUGACCUAAAGAUCCGGCAAAGCCGAUCAACGAACCUAGUUACCCCAGGGAUAACAGCGCAAUCCCCUUCAAGAGUCCCUAUCGACAAGGGGGUUUACGACCUCGAUGUUGGAUCAGGAUAUCCUAAUGGUGUAGCCGCUAUUAAGGGUUCGUUUGUUCAACGAUUAAAAUCCU
Molecule: ribosomal RNA, 567 nt
Filed under: Syngnathus leptorhynchus (bay pipefish)
Lineage: Eukaryota; Metazoa; Chordata; Actinopteri; Syngnathiformes; Syngnathidae
Description: partial 16S ribosomal RNA
Rfam family: Bacterial large subunit ribosomal RNA
Source: RNAcentral